UACGGAGGGUGCGAGCGUUAAUCGGAAUUACUGGGCGUAAAGCGUGCGCAGGCGGUUAUAUAAGUCAGCUGUGAAAUCCCCGGGCUCAACCUGGGAACUGCAGUUGAGACUGUAUGGCUAGAGUGUGUCAGAGGGGGGUAGAAUUCCACGUGUAGCAGUGAAAUGCGUAGAUAUGCGGAGGAACACCGAUGGCGAAGGCAAUCCCCUGGACCUGUACUGACGCUCAUGCACGAAAGCGUGGGGAUCAAACAGG
RNAcentral lists this ribosomal RNA (253 nucleotides) under uncultured bacterium. RNAcentral's name for it is "partial 16S ribosomal RNA". It matches the Rfam family "Bacterial small subunit ribosomal RNA", at positions 524 to 776 of the family's 1533-position model. The record is from RNAcentral.